GGGGGGGUACGUUUACCGGACUAUUGCGCGUAAAGGCUCGCACGCGGUUUCUUAGGUCUGAUGUGAUAGCCCCCGGCUCCGCCGGGGAGGGUCAUUGUAAACUGGGGAACUUGAGUGCAGAGGAGGAGAAAGGAAUUCCACGUGUAGCGGUGAAAUGCGUAGAGAUGUGGAGGAACACCAGUGGCGAAGGCGACUCUCUGGUCUGUAACUGACGCUGAGGAGCGAAAGCGUGGGGAGCGAACAGGAUUAGAUACCCUGGUAGUCCACGCCGUAAACGAUGAGUGCUAAGUGUUAGGGGGUUUCCGCCCCUUAGUGCUGCAGCUAACGCAUUAAGCACUCCGCCUGGGGAGUACGGUCGCAAGACUGAAACUCAAAGGAAUUGACGGGGGCCCGCACAAGCGGUGGAGCAUGUGGUUUAAUUCGAAGCAACGCGAAGAACCUUACCAGGUCUUGACAUCCUCUGACAAUCCUAGAGAUAGGACGUCCCCUUCGGGGGCAGAGUGACAGGUGGUGCAUGGUUGUCGUCAGCUCGUGUCGUGAGAUGUUGGGUUAAGUCCCGCAACGAGCGCAACCCUUGAUCUUAGUUGCCAGCAUUCAGUUGGGCACUCUAAGGUGACUGCCGGUGACAAACCGGAGGAAGGUGGGGAUGACGUCAAAUCAUCAUGCCCCUUAUGACCUGGGCUACACACGUGCUACAAUGGACAGAACAAAGGGCAGCGAAACCGCGAGGUUAAGCCAAUCCCACAAAUCUGUUCUCAGUUCGGAUCGCAGUCUGCAACUCGACUGCGUGAAGCUGGAAUCGCUAGUAAUCGCGGAUCAGCAUGCCGCGGUGAAUACGUUCCCGGGGCCUUGUACACACCGCCCGUCACACCACGAAGAGUUUGUAACACCCCGAAGUCGGUGAGGUAACCUUUUUAGGAGCCAGCCGCCGAAAGGUGGGACAGAAUGAUUGGGGGUGAAGUCGUACAGGGGGGAACCCGUAAAAAAUACAACCUACACCCCCCCCCCCCCCCCCCCCCCCCCCGCCACCCCCCCCCCCCCC
Molecule: ribosomal RNA, 1042 nt
Filed under: Bacillus subtilis
Lineage: Bacteria; Bacillati; Bacillota; Bacilli; Caryophanales; Bacillaceae
Description: bacterial SSU rRNA
Rfam family: Bacterial small subunit ribosomal RNA
Source: RNAcentral